GAUGAACGCUGGCGGCGUGCCUAAUACAUGCAAGUCGAGCGAACUUUUGGGAGCUUGCCUCCUCAAGUUAUAGGCGGACGGGUGAGUAACACGCGGGUAACCUGUCUGUAAGACUGGGAUAACUCUGGGAAACCCGAGAUAAUAUCGGAUAACAUUUAAGACCACAUGGCGUUCAAUUAAAAGGUGGCUUUUAGCUACCACUUAUAGAUGGAUCCGCGGCGCAUUAGCUAGUUGGUGAGGUAACGGCUUACCAAGGCGACGAUGCGUAGCCGACCUGAGAGGGGGGACGGCCACACUGGGACUGGAACAAGGCCCAAGCUCCUACGGGGAGCAACAAUAAGGAAUCUUCCGCAAAGGGGGGAAAGCUGGCGGGGCAACGCCGCGGGGGGUGAGGAAGCCUUCGGGUCGGAAAGCUCUGUUGUUAAGGGAAAACAAAUAGCGUACGAAAAGAGCGGUACCUUGACGGUACCUAACCAGAAAGCCACGGCUAACUACGUG
RNAcentral lists this ribosomal RNA (498 nucleotides) under uncultured bacterium. Its description in RNAcentral is "partial 16S ribosomal RNA". It matches the Rfam family "Bacterial small subunit ribosomal RNA", at positions 28 to 507 of the family's 1533-position model. The record is from RNAcentral.